RNAcentral lists this ribosomal RNA (597 nucleotides) under uncultured archaeon. Its description in RNAcentral is "partial 16S ribosomal RNA". The record is from RNAcentral.
AAAAUGAGGGGGAAUUCUGCCUUACCGGCGUCUGACUGGAUUAAACUCUGUCUACGCUCCACCCGUUGUGGUGCUCCCCCGCCAAUUCCUUUAAGUUUCAGCCUUGCGGCCGUACUUCCCAGGUGGCUCGCUUCACGGCUUCCCUACGGCACCGACAACGGUCGCACCGUGGCCGACACCUAGCGAGUAUCGUUUACGGCUAGGACUACCCGGGUAUCUAAUCCGGUUCGUGCCCCUAGCUUUCGUCCCUUGCCGUCAGGUCCGUUCUGGUGAGACGCCUUCGCCACUGGUGGUCCUUCAAGGAUUACAAGAUUUCACCCCUACCCCUGAAGUACCUCUCACCUCUCCCGGCCUCGAGCCGAACAGUAUCUCCUGAAAGCCCAACAGUUGAGCUGCUGGAUUUCUCAAGAGACUUAUCCGGCCGGCUACAGGCCCUUUAGACCCAAUAAUAACGGUUACCACUCGAGCCGCCGGUGUUACCGCGCGGCUGGCACCGGUCUUGCCCGGCCUUGCUAUGCAAUGCUUUUAGGCAUCACGACAGCAGAUUUGUAACCUGCACUCGAGGUCCCUAUCGCCGUUGCCGCAUGUAAGUUUCGG